GGCCGGGCUGCUGGGGCGGUGGGCGCGCGCGGGCGGGCACGCGGGGCUGCCGUUGCCGGGCGACAUGAGCGAGAGUUUGGCUUCAGUGAACUGGUGUUUCUGAGCAAGAUGCAUUCAGCUGAGUCAUGCCUGACUGGUUCCACUACCCACAUACUGCAGUAUCUUUGCAUCUCAGAAGCUAGACAAGGAACCGGAGCUACAAAUGGAAAAGACAAAACAUCUGCUGAGAAUGGUAAGGACAGAUUAUAUUUCUUGCUGGGGAAUAUGGAUCUAAGUUGUUUUCCAUUAUCAAAAUAAUCU
Molecule: long non-coding RNA, 300 nt
Filed under: Apteryx rowi (Okarito brown kiwi)
Lineage: Eukaryota; Metazoa; Chordata; Aves; Apterygiformes; Apterygidae
Description: lncRNA (ENSARWG00000014769.1)
Source: RNAcentral